AGAGUUUGAUCCUGGCUCAGAUUGAACGCUGGCGGCAUGCCUUACACAUGCAAGUCGAACGGUAGAGGGGCAACCCUUGAGAGUGGCGAACGGGUGAGUAAUAUAUCGGAACGUGCCCAGUCGUGGGGGAUAACGCAGCGAAAGCUGCGCUAAUACCGCAUACGAUCUAAGGAUGAAAGCGGGGGAUCGCAAGACCUCGCGCGAUUGGAGCGGCCGAUAUCAGAUUAGGUAGUUGGUGGGGUAAAAGCCCACCAAGCCGACGAUCUGUAGCUGGUCUGAGAGGACGACCAGCCACACUGGGACUGAGACACGGCCCAGACUCCUACGGGAGGCAGCAGUGGGGAAUUUUGGACAAUGGGCGCAAGCCUGAUCCAGCAAUGCCGCGUGCAGGACGAAGGCCUUCGGGUUGUAAACUGCUUUUGUACGGAGCGAAACGGUCUGGGUUAAUACCCUNNNNNANUGACGGUACCGUAAGAAUAAGCACCGGCNNNCNNNNNNNNNNCCGCCGCGGUAAUAC
Molecule: ribosomal RNA, 517 nt
Filed under: uncultured soil bacterium
Lineage: Bacteria
Description: 16S ribosomal RNA
Rfam family: Bacterial small subunit ribosomal RNA
Source: RNAcentral